AUACUUACCUGGCAGGGGAGAUAAAAUGAUCACGAAGGUGGUUUUCCCAGGGUGAGGCUUAUCCAUUGCCCUCUGGAUGUGCUGAUCCCUGAGAUUUCCCCAAAUGUGGGAAACUCGACUGCAUAAUUUGUGGUAGCAGGGGACUGA
RNAcentral lists this small nuclear RNA (147 nucleotides) under Otolemur garnettii (small-eared galago). RNAcentral describes it as "U1 spliceosomal RNA (ENSOGAG00000018802.1)". It matches the Rfam family "U1 spliceosomal RNA", at positions 1 to 149 of the family's 166-position model. Rfam says of the family: U1 is a small nuclear RNA (snRNA) component of the spliceosome (involved in pre-mRNA splicing). Lineage: Eukaryota; Metazoa; Chordata; Mammalia; Primates; Galagidae. The record is from RNAcentral.